AUACGGAGGGUGCAAGCGUUAUUCGGAAUCACUGGGCGUAAAGGACGCGUAGGCGGGUUGGCAAGUCAGAUGUGAAAUCCUACAGCUUAACUGUAGAACCGCAUUUGAAACUGCUAACCUAGAGUAUGGGAGGGGGAGAUGGAAUUAGUGGUGUAGGGGUAAAAUCCGUAGAUAUCACUAGGAAUACCGAAAGCGAAGGCGAUCUCCUGGAACAUAACUGACGCUAAGGCGUGAAAGCGUGGGGAGCAAACAGGAUUAGAAACCCUAGUAGUCC
RNAcentral lists this ribosomal RNA (274 nucleotides) under uncultured bacterium. RNAcentral's name for it is "partial 16S ribosomal RNA". It matches the Rfam family "Bacterial small subunit ribosomal RNA", at positions 523 to 796 of the family's 1533-position model. The record is from RNAcentral.